AGAGUUUGAUCCUGGCGUCAGGAUGAACGCUAGCGAUAGGCUUACACAUGCAAGUCGAGGGGCGAUCGAGGGUAGCAUACCUGUCGGCGACCGGCGCACGGGUGAGUAACGCGUAUGUAACCUGCCCGCAACAGAGGGAUAACCCGGCGAAAGUCGGACUAAUACCUCAUAAAACAGGGGUUCCGCAUGGGGCUAUUUGUUAAAGAUUUAUUGGUUGCGGAUGGGCAUGCGUACCAUUAGGUAGUUGGUGAGGUAACGGCUCACCAAGCCAUCGAUGGUUAGGGGUUCUGAGAGGAAGGUCCCCCACACUGGUACUGAGACACGGACCAGACUCCUACGGGAGGCAGCAGUGAGGAAUAUUGGUCAAUGGGCGAGAGCCUGAACCAGCCAAGUCGCGUGAAGGAUGACUGCCCUAUGGGUUGUAAACUUCUUUUACAGGGGAAUAAAAUGAGAUACGUGUAUUUUAUUGCAUGUACCUUGUGAAUAAGCAUCGGCUAACUCCGUG
Molecule: ribosomal RNA, 505 nt
Filed under: uncultured Tannerella sp.
Lineage: Bacteria; Pseudomonadati; Bacteroidota; Bacteroidia; Bacteroidales; Tannerellaceae
Description: bacterial SSU rRNA
Rfam family: Bacterial small subunit ribosomal RNA
Source: RNAcentral